Molecule: long non-coding RNA, 317 nt
Filed under: Homo sapiens (human)
Lineage: Eukaryota; Metazoa; Chordata; Mammalia; Primates; Hominidae
Description: HSALNT0325886
Source: RNAcentral
GGAUUCUGGGACAGAAAAAGAACAUUACGUAAAAUUAAGGAAAUCUGAAUAAAAACCACCCAUGGCCCACUCCAUGCCCUCAUCUUGUGCCCGUGAAAACUGCAGGCUCAGCCAGCAAAGGCAGGAGAAGCAGCUGGACAUCAGAGAGAAGUGCCUUACUUCAGAGGGACAGCUCGACGGUGUAAAUUUCAAGAAGAAUCCCAGGAGACAGCUGGACUUUGAGGGAAGAUUACCUUCCUUCUCUGUCUGCUUUUCAGCUCCUCUUCCCUCUGAGAGCCACGUCCAACAGCAAUAAAAUCCCCCACAUUUACCAUCCU